Molecule: ribosomal RNA, 243 nt
Filed under: uncultured microorganism
Description: partial 16S ribosomal RNA
Rfam family: Archaeal small subunit ribosomal RNA
Source: RNAcentral
GUGCAGCAGUCGCGAAACCUCCGCAAUACACGAAAGUGUGACGGGGCCAUCCCGAGUGCCGUCCGCUGAGGACGGCUUUUCCCCAGUGUACAUAGCUGGGGAAGUAAGAGAGGGCAAGCCUGGUGUCAGCCGCCGCGGUAAUACCAGCUCUCCGAGUGGUGGGGACGCUUAUUGGGCCUAAAGCAUCCGUAGCCGGCUGGGCAAAGUCCUCCGUUAAAUCCAACGAUUCAAUCGUUGGGCUGC